UGGGGAAUAUUGCACAAUGGGCGCAAGCCUGAUGCAGCCAUGCCGCGUGUGUGAAGAAGGCCUUCGGGUUGUAAAGCACUUUCAGCGAGGAGGAAGGUGGUGAGCUUAAUACGCUCAUCAAUUGACGUUACUCGCAGAAGAAGCACCGGCUAACUCCGUGCCAGCAGCCGCGGUAAUACGGAGGGUGCAAGCGUUAAUCGGAAUUACUGGGCGUAAAGCGCACGCAGGCGGUUUGUUAAGUCAGAUGUGAAAUCCCCGGGCUCAACCUGGGAACUGCAUUUGAAACUGGCAAGCUAGAGUCUCGUAGAGGGGGGUAGAAUUCCAGGUGUAGCGGUGAAAUGCGUAGAGAUCUGGAGGAAUACCGGUGGCGAAGGCGGCCCCCUGGACGAAGACUGACGCUCAGGUGCGAAAGCGUGGGGCAGCAAACAGGAUUAGAUACCCUGGUAGUCCAGCGCUGUAAAACGAUGUCGAUUUUGGAGGUUGUGCCCUUGAGGCGUGGCUUCCGGAGCUAACGCGUUAAAUCGACCGCCUGGGGAGUACGGCCGCAAGGUUAAAACUCAAAUGAAUUGC
RNAcentral lists this ribosomal RNA (570 nucleotides) under uncultured bacterium. RNAcentral describes it as "partial 16S ribosomal RNA". It matches the Rfam family "Bacterial small subunit ribosomal RNA", at positions 355 to 913 of the family's 1533-position model. The record is from RNAcentral.